Molecule: ribosomal RNA, 258 nt
Filed under: uncultured bacterium
Lineage: Bacteria
Description: partial 16S ribosomal RNA
Rfam family: Bacterial small subunit ribosomal RNA
Source: RNAcentral
GAUAUGGCUCAGGAUGAACGCUGGCGGCGUGCUUAACACAUGCAAGUCGAACGGGAAAUAUUUUAUUGAAACUUCGGUAGAUUUAAUUUAUUUCUAGUGGCGGACGGGUGAGUAACGCGUGGGUAACCUGCCUUAUACUGGGGGAUAACAGCCAGAAAUGGCUGCUAAUACCGCAUAAGCGCACAGGACCGCAUGGUCCGGUGUGAAAAACUCCGGUGGUAUAAGAUGGACCCGCGUUGGAUUAGCUAGUUGGCAGGG